UGAAGGUUAAAAUCCCAAGGUGAAAUUUACAUUGAUUGGAAGAUUCUUUGGAUAGAAUAUUCCUGCCAAAAGACAGCAGAAGGGGGACUAACUGAUGUAUGGAUUUUGACACCAGAUUUUACCCUGCACGAGCAGCCCAACUUGAGUAGAUCAGGAGUGGGAAAACCGAGCCCUGUCCUUGACCAAGGAAAGUUGGAUUUGUUGAGAGGACCUGAUCUCAAAUGAGAUCAUGCACAAGACGCACCUCGCAAAGGCCAUGACAGUAUAGUUUUCAGACCUGAUCAGCUGGUGACUGCUCUAUGAAGUGCUGUUCAACCUCCCCUAAGGGGGAGAUUCGAGAGGGUCUCCUGAUUGCUGAACACUACGCCAUGGUUGUUGUCAUCUCCAAAAAGUUUGCCCUGCCCAUAUCAACAGUGGAAGAGAACAUGAGAUGGGCCUUGAGGAGGCUUCGUGUCAUGUACUGCGGGGAGAAUAUAUAAACUGUUUAGUGCUGAGCAAUAUGUUCCUUUGUUCAUAGGUGUAAAUAUGUGUAAAGGGCUAUUCCAGGAAAAGAUAGGAUGAAGGAUUCCUUAAUGUUGUUAUUUUAUAAAUCCGGUA
Molecule: long non-coding RNA, 597 nt
Organism: Dreissena polymorpha
Lineage: Eukaryota; Metazoa; Mollusca; Bivalvia; Myida; Dreissenidae
Exons: 3
Source: RefSeq, a predicted model, not a curated record